RNAcentral lists this ribosomal RNA (80 nucleotides) under Rhodospirillum rubrum. Its description in RNAcentral is "partial 23S ribosomal RNA". It matches the Rfam family "Bacterial large subunit ribosomal RNA", at positions 120 to 205 of the family's 2925-position model. Lineage: Bacteria; Pseudomonadati; Pseudomonadota; Alphaproteobacteria; Rhodospirillales; Rhodospirillaceae. The record is from RNAcentral.
GGGGAAACCCACCCCUUAUGGGGUAUCCGUAGCUGAAUCCAUAGGCUACGGAAGCGAACCCGGGGAACUGAAACUUCUAA